Molecule: ribosomal RNA, 274 nt
Filed under: uncultured bacterium
Lineage: Bacteria
Description: partial 16S ribosomal RNA
Rfam family: Bacterial small subunit ribosomal RNA
Source: RNAcentral
AUACGGAAGGUGCGAGCGUUAUCCGGAAUCACUGGGUUUAAAGGGUGCGUAGGCGGCCUGGUAAGUCAGGGGUGAAAGUCCAGGGCUUAACCGUGGGAUUGCCUUUGAUACUGCUGGGCUUGAAUGAGGUUGAGGUGGGCGGAAUGUGGCAUGUAACGGUGAAAUGUGUAGAUAUGCCAUAGAACACCGAUUGCGAAGGCAGCUCACUGAACCUUUAUUGACGCUGAGGCACGAAAGCGUGGGGAGCGAACAGGAUUAGAUACCCUAGUAGUCC